This 253-nucleotide ribosomal RNA is filed under the name uncultured bacterium. Its description in RNAcentral is "partial 16S ribosomal RNA". It matches the Rfam family "Bacterial small subunit ribosomal RNA", at positions 524 to 776 of the family's 1533-position model. The record is from RNAcentral.
UACGUAGGUGGCAAGCGUUAUCCGGAUUUACUGGGUGUAAAGGGUGUGUAGGCGGGAAAGCAAGUCAGAUGUGAAAACCACGGGCUCAACCUGUGGCCUGCAUUUGAAACUGUUUUUCUUGAGUACUGGAGAGGCAGACGGAAUUCCUCGUGUAGCGGUGAAAUGCGUAGAUAUGAGGAGGAACACCAGUGGCGAAGGCGGUCUGCUGGACAGCAACUGACGCUGAGGCGCGAAAGCGUGGGGAGCAAACAGG